Molecule: unclassified non-coding RNA, 733 nt
Filed under: uncultured fungus
Lineage: Eukaryota; Fungi
Description: sequence contains 18S rRNA gene, ITS1, 5.8S rRNA gene, ITS2, 28S rRNA gene
Rfam family: Eukaryotic large subunit ribosomal RNA
Source: RNAcentral
UGAAAGGGAAGCGAAUCGUAUCCAGUGUCUAUAAUCCGUGGCAUAUUUCAUUGGCGAGUGUGUGCGUGCGGCGCGUAAGAAGUAGCUUGCUGCUCUUUGUGUUGUUCUGCGCUUGCUUGCUGGUGCCCUGUGUCGUGGUGGACGUCAGAGUCAGUUCGUAUGCUGCGGGAAAUGGCUAUCGAGGAGGUAGGUUAGGAGCUUGCUCUUGGCUGUUAUAUCUUGGUAUGCUAGUGGUCGUGGUUGGGACUGAGGUGCCUACAACGUGCUUUAAAGUCUUGCGGUGUCUUAUUUGGUUAACUGUUUGGAUAGCUUGCUAUGCCUAUGGCCUAAUCGAGUGAUGGAUACUGUAGGUAACUUUUGCCGUUCGGGACUUUGACGAAAUGGAGCGAUUCGGCCCGUCUUGAAACACGGACCAAGGAGUCUAACAUGUGUGCAAGUGUUAGGGUGUGGAAACCCCAGCGCGAAAUGAAAGUAAAGGGUAGCGUACGCUGCCUGAGGUAGGAAACCUUUGUUCUCAGAGGUGGCACUAUCGACCGAUCAUGAACCUUCGUGGUGAAAGAUUUGAGUAUGAGCACAUAUGUUGGUACCCGAAAGAUGGUGAACUAUGCCUGAGUAGGGUGAAGCCAGGGGAAACUCUGGUGGAAGCUCGUAGCGAUUCUGACGUGCAAAUCGAUCGUCAAACUUGGGUAUAGGGGCGAAAGACUAAUCGAACCAUCUAGUAGCUGGUUCCCUC